Molecule: ribosomal RNA, 406 nt
Filed under: uncultured bacterium
Lineage: Bacteria
Description: partial 16S ribosomal RNA
Rfam family: Bacterial small subunit ribosomal RNA
Source: RNAcentral
AUUGAACGCUGGCGGCAGGCCUAACACAUGCAAGUCGAACGAGUGGCGGACGGGUGAGUAAUGUCUGGGAAACUGCCUGAUGGAGGGGGAUAACUACUGGAAACGGUAGCUAAUACCGCAUACCAUCGGAUGUGCCCAGAUGGGAUUAGCUAGUAGGUGGGGUAAAGGCUCACCUAGGCGACGAUCCCUAGCUGGUCUGAGAGGAUGACCAGCCACACUGGAACUGAGACACGGGCCAGACUCUUACGGAAGGCAGCAGUGGGGAAUAUUGCACAGGGGGCGCAAGCCUGAUGCGGCCAGGCGGCGGGGAUGAAGAAGGCCUUCGGGUUGUAAAGUACUUUCAGCGGGGCGGCGUUACCCGCAGAAGAAGCCCCGGCUAACUCCGUGCCAGCAGCCGCGGUAAUUC